GGGAACCUCACCAGGCCCGGACACCGGAAGGAUUGACAGAUUGAGAGCUCUUUCUUGAUUCGGUGGGUGGUGGUGCAUGGCCGUUCUUAGUUGGUGGAGUGAUUUGUCUGGUUAAUUCCGAUAACGAACGAGACUCUGUCCUGCUAAAUAGUGUCCGCUUCUCUUUUGAGCGGACAAUUCUUCUUAGAGGGACUGGCGACUCUUAGUCGCACGAGAUUGAGCAAUAA
This 227-nucleotide ribosomal RNA is filed under the name uncultured eukaryote. RNAcentral describes it as "partial small subunit ribosomal RNA". It matches the Rfam family "Eukaryotic small subunit ribosomal RNA", at positions 1208 to 1456 of the family's 1831-position model. The record is from RNAcentral.